GCAGCCGCGGUAAUGCGGAGGGUGCAAACAUUAAUCGGAAUUUUUGGCGUAAAGCACACGCACGCGGUUUGGUAAGUCAGAUGUGAAAUCCCCGCGCUGAACGUGGGAACUGCAUUUGAAACUGGCAAGCUAGAGUCUUGUAGAGGGGGGUAGAAUUCCAGGUGUAGCGGUGAAAUGCGUAGAGAUCUGGAGGAAUACCGGUGGCGAAGGAGGCCCCCUGGACAAAGACUGACGCUCAUAUACGACCGCGUGGGGAGCAAACAGG
RNAcentral lists this ribosomal RNA (265 nucleotides) under uncultured Enterobacteriaceae bacterium. Its description in RNAcentral is "partial 16S ribosomal RNA". It matches the Rfam family "Bacterial small subunit ribosomal RNA", at positions 511 to 776 of the family's 1533-position model. The record is from RNAcentral. Lineage: Bacteria; Pseudomonadati; Pseudomonadota; Gammaproteobacteria; Enterobacterales; Enterobacteriaceae.